This 55-nucleotide transfer RNA is filed under the name Anolis nicefori. RNAcentral's name for it is "tRNA-Cys". Lineage: Eukaryota; Metazoa; Chordata; Lepidosauria; Squamata; Anolidae. The record is from RNAcentral.
AGCCCUGAGGUGUUCCAUAUCAAAAUGCAAAUUUGAAGAAGAGCCCUAAAAGGCU